This 253-nucleotide ribosomal RNA is filed under the name uncultured bacterium. RNAcentral describes it as "partial 16S ribosomal RNA". It matches the Rfam family "Bacterial small subunit ribosomal RNA", at positions 524 to 776 of the family's 1533-position model. The record is from RNAcentral.
UACGUAGGGUGCGAGCGUUAAUCGGAAUUACUGGGCGUAAAGCGUGCGCAGGUGGCUGUCCAAGCCAGAUGUGAAAUCCCCGGGCUCAACCUGGGAAUGGCAUUUGGGACUGGGCGGCUAGAGUGCGGCAGAGGGAGCUGGAAUUCCUGGUGUAGCAGUGAAAUGCGUAGAGAUCAGGAGGAACACCGAUGGCGAAGGCAGGCUCCUGGGCUAGCACUGACACUCAUGCACGAAAGCGUGGGGAGCAAACAGG